UCGAUGCUUGGUCAUUCUACAAAUUUGUUUCAUCGUGUGCUGCAACGAACUGGACCAAUAAUAAUCUCUAAAAUAAAGAUGGAAAAAGUGUAACAUGAUUCUUCUCUAAGCAGAAAAUUUAAGAAACGGCUACCACUUCCAAGGAAGGCAGCAGGCGCGCAAAUUACCCACUCUCAGCAAGAGGAGGUAGUGACGAAAAAUAACGAGACCGUUCUCAUUGAGGCCGGUUAUCGGAAUGGGUACAAUUUAAGCCUGUUAAGUACCGAGUGAUUGUUGAAAAUCGUUGCCACGUAUGCUGUAUAUUGUAUAUGCUCUUCGUUUCACGUAUAU
Molecule: non-coding RNA, 330 nt
Filed under: Dracunculus medinensis (Guinea worm)
Lineage: Eukaryota; Metazoa; Nematoda; Chromadorea; Rhabditida; Dracunculidae
Description: Eukaryotic small subunit ribosomal RNA
Rfam family: Eukaryotic small subunit ribosomal RNA
Source: Rfam by way of RNAcentral